This 229-nucleotide ribosomal RNA is filed under the name uncultured bacterium. RNAcentral's name for it is "partial 16S ribosomal RNA". It matches the Rfam family "Bacterial small subunit ribosomal RNA", at positions 568 to 796 of the family's 1533-position model. The record is from RNAcentral.
CGCGCAGGCGGUCUUGUCCGUCAGGUGUGAAAGCUCGGGGCUCAACCCCGGAAGUGCACUUGAAACAGCAAGACUUGAAUACGGGAGAGGAAAGCGGAAUUCCUGGUGUAGAGGUGAAAUUCGUAGAUAUCAGGAGGAACACCGAUGGCGAAGGCAGCUUUCUGGACCGAUAUUGACGCUGAGGCGCGAAGGCGUGGGUAGCGAGCAGGAUUAGAUACCCUGGUAGUCC